UCGAUGUCUCUAGGAAGAUGUAAAAUCUUAUCUAUUUAUUAACCUUUGUUUGUGUAACGAUAGUAGUGAUAGAUUCGUACGACGUUUUAAAUCGUGAUUUGUAACGAUGUUAAUUUCCAGAGGUGUAAAUGUUUUAAAACACAUUUCGAAACAUGUUAAGAGAAAAAAUACUCUAAUUAAUAAUCAACCUGUUCGGUCAUCACAUGCUGAAUGGGGUUAUAGAGAAGAUACAACAAAUGAAAAAAGCAAAAAAUAUUAUUUAAGGGCAGCCGAAAUUUGUGGUGGAAUUGCUUGGUGGUGGUUUCUAUAUAGAAUGUGGCAUGAUCAUUUACAUCUUGUUGGACAUUUUGAUUAUCCGGAUCCAUCAAAAUGGACAGAUGAAGAAUUAGGAAUACCACCUGAUGAUUAUGAUUAAUUGAACAUAUACUUCUGUAGAUAAUUAAUAUGUUCCUUAAUGUUGGCAACAAAUUUUCUGAGUAACAAGAAUUAAACGGAUCUCCGACCUUUUUAUCCAGCGCUAAUUGUUUCGAAUAUUUUACAAAUUCGUCAUAAAUCUUAGAGUGUACGAACGUACGCGAUCCCGCGCAACAACUCUGGCCAUGAUUUGAAAACAAAGCGCUGUGGGCUAUCUCAGCAGCUUUUUUAACUAAAAUAAUUCAAUCAACUUAUUUUAUUAAUGUUUUUCAUUGAUACAAAUUUAAUAAAUAAAAAUAAACUGUGUAAUAUUUAUUUAUAUCUAUACUUGCCAUCAAAGUCAUCGAAAAUAACAAGUGGACUUUUGCCACCUAAUUCAAGACUAACUCGUUUUAGAUUACUUUUGGCAGCUGCUUCUGAAAUUAAAUGUCCAACCUAAAAAAAAAAAAAACAGACGAAACAAUAUUUUGAUUGUAAAAUUAAAGAAUAUUAUUAAAAAAGAUAAUAAUUACUUCAGUCGAUCCUGUGAAAGCAACUUUAUUAAUAUCCGGAUGUUUAGCUAUAGCAGCUCCUGCUGUUGGUCCAUAUCCUGUAAUAACAUUGAUGACACCAGCUGGAAAUCCUGCCUCUUUCGUUAAAGCUGCUGCAUACAAAGCGCUCAAAGGGGUUUGUUCUGCUGGUUUUAAAAUAACAGUACAACCCGUAGCCAAAGCUGGAGCCCAUUUCCAUGAUAACAUCAUGAACGGAUAAUUCCAUGGAAUAAUAUGACCAACGACUCCUACCGGUUCUUUACGUGUAAAUACAAAACUAGAGCCAUCUGAAAAAUAAUCAUAAUAAAAUAUAAUUUUGUUCUAACAUAUGUACAAAAA
This 1283-nucleotide unclassified non-coding RNA is filed under the name Polistes fuscatus (common paper wasp). Its description in RNAcentral is "nADH dehydrogenase [ubiquinone] 1 beta subcomplex subunit 2, mitochondrial-like, transcript variant X1". The record is from RNAcentral. Lineage: Eukaryota; Metazoa; Arthropoda; Insecta; Hymenoptera; Vespidae.